RNAcentral lists this small RNA (6362 nucleotides) under Pongo abelii (Sumatran orangutan). Its description in RNAcentral is "retained intron". Lineage: Eukaryota; Metazoa; Chordata; Mammalia; Primates; Hominidae. The record is from RNAcentral.
ACACUGUGAGAAACCCCUGUGUAAGGUAGAAGAUGGGCAGUGGUGCCAUUUGCUGGUUUAAUUUACGUGAUGUUGGUUCUCAGGCUCCUGAGGACAGAUGGUAUGAGGCAGAGAAAGUCUGGCUGGCUCAGAAGGACGGAUUUACUCUUGCUACGGUGCUAAAGCCAGAUGAGGGAACAGCAGACCUGCCAGCAGGAAGGGUGAGACUUUGCAUUGAUGCUGACAAAACCAUCACUGAGGUGGAUGAGGAGCAUGUCCAUCGGGGCAACCCCCCUGAGCUGGACCAGGUCGAGGACCUGGCCUCUCUCAUCAGUGUCAACGAAUCCAGUGUCCUGAAUACGCUUCUGCAGCGCUACAGGGCUCAGCUGCCGCACACCUGCGUGGGGCCUGAUCUGAUCGUCCUCCAGCCCCGGGGGCCCUUGAUGCCUUCUGCAGGGAAGGUGCCCAAGGGCCGCCGGGAUGGCCUGCCUGCCCACAUUGGCUCCAUAGCACAGCGGGCAUACUGGGCGCUGCUGAAUCAGCGGAGAGACCAGAGCAUUGUGGCCCUGGGCCGGAGUGGUGCUGGGAAGACCACCUGCUGUGAGCAGGUCCUGGAACACCUGGUGGGGAUGGCAGGCAGUGUGGAUGGCAGGGUCUCAGUGGAGAAGAUCCGAGCCACCUUUACUGUCCUCCGGGCCUUCGGCUCUGUGUCCGUGGCCCAUAGCCGCAGCGCCACCCGGUUCUCCAUGGUGAUGUCGCUGGACUUCAACGCUACAGGCCGCAUCACGGCUGCUCAGCUCCAGACAAUGCUUUUGGAGAAGAGCCGCGUGGCACGGCAGCUGGAAGGGGAAAGUAACUUCCAGGUUUUCUCCCAGAUGCUGGCUGGAUUGGACUUGGAUCUCAGGACGGAGCUGAACCUGCACCAGAUGGCAGAUAGCAGCUCCUUUGGCAUGGGCAUGUGGUCCAAGCCUGAAGAUAAACAGAAGGCGGCAGCUGCCUUUGCCCAGCUCCAGGGUGCCAUGGAGACGCUGGGCAUCUCAGAGAGUGAGCAGCGGGCCGUUUGGCGGGUCCUGGCAGCCAUCUACCACCUGGGCGCGGCGGGGGCCUGCAAAGUGGGUCGGAAGCAGUUCAUGAGGUUUGAGUGGGCAAACUAUGCAGCUGAGGCCCUGGGCUGCGAGUAUGAGGAGCUGAACACGGCCACCUUCAAGCACCACCUUCGACAGAUCAUCCAGCAAAUGACGUUUGGGCCAACCCGAUGGGGCCUCGAGGAUGAGGAAACCAGCUCAGGGCUUAAGAUGACAGGAGUGGAGUGUGUGGAGGGGAUGGCCUCGGGCCUGUACCAGGAGCUCUUUGCGGCUGUGGUCUCACUGAUCAACAGAUCCUUCUCCUCCCAGCACCUCUCCAUGGCCUCCAUCAUGGUGGUGGAUUCUCCAGGCUUCCAGAACCCCCGGCACCAGGGCAAGGACCGGGCGGCCACCUUUGAGGAGCUGUGCCACAACUACACCCAUGAGCGCCUGCAGCUGCUGUUCUACCAGCGGACCUUUGUCUCCACGCUGCAGCGAUAUCAAGAGGAAGGUGUUCCUGUGCAGUUUGACCUCCCGGACCCCUCCCCAGGGACCACCGUGGCUGUUGUGGAUCAAAAUCCCUCUCAGGUCCGCUUACCAGCUGGAGGAGGUGCCCAGGAUGCCAAAGGCCUUUUCUGGGUCUUGGAUGAAGAAGUCCGUGUAGAGGGCUCCAGUGACAGUGUGGUGCUCGAGCGUCUGUGUGCUGCUUUCGAGAAGAAAGGAGCUGGGACUGAAGAGUCCUCUGCCCUGCGGACCUGUGAGCAGCCCCUCCAGUGUGAGAUUUUCCACCAGUUGGGAUGGGACCCUGUGCGGUACGACCUCACGGGCUGGCUCCACAGAGCCAAGCCCAACCUCUCAGCCCUGGAUGCACCCCAGGUCCUGCAACAGUCAAAAAGAGAGGAGCUGCGGAGUCUAUUCCAGGCCCGGGCCAAGCUGCCUCCUGUGUGCCGGGCUGUGGCAGGCCUGGAGGGCACCUCCCAGCAGGCCCUGCAGAGGAGCCGCAUGGUGAGGAGGACCUUUGCCAGCAGCCUUGCCGCGAUAAGGAGGAAAGCCCCGUGCUCCCAGAUCAAGCUGCAGAUGGAUGCGCUGACCAGCAUGAUCAAAAGGUCCCGGCUGCACUUUAUCCACUGCCUGGUACCGAACUCUGUGGUGGAAAGCAGGAGUGGGCAGGAAUCUCCAACACCACCACAGCCUGGUAGAGACAAGCCUGGGGCAGGUGGACCUCUGGCCCUGGAUAUCCCAGCACUGAGGGUCCAGCUUGCUGGGUUCCACAUCCUGGAGGCUCUGCGUCUGCACAGGACAGGCUAUGCUGACCACAUGGGGCUCACUCACUUCCGCCGGCAAUUCCAGGUGCUGGACCCUCCACUCCUGAAGAAGCUCAUGUCGACCUCCGAGGGAAUAGAUGAAAGGAAGGCCGUGGAGGAGCUCCUGGAGACCCUGGAUCUGGAAAAGAAGGCAGUGGCUGUGGGGCACAGCCAAGUUUUUCUCAAGGCAGGUGUGAUCUCCAGGCUUGAGAAGCAGCGAGAGAAGCUGGUAUCUCAGAGCAUCGUUCUCUUCCAGGCGGCUUGCAAGGGCUUUCUGUCUCGCCAGGAAUUCAAGAAGCUGAAGAUUCGCCGACUGGCUGCACGGUGCAUCCAGAAGAAUGUGGCUGUGUUCCUCGCAGUGAAGGACUGGCCAUGGUGGCAGCUCCUUGGUUCCCUCCAGCCCCUACUUAGUGCCACCAUUGGAAAUGAGCAGCUCCGAGCCAAGGAGGAGGAGCUUACAACGCUAAGACGGAAGCUAGAAAAAUCAGAGAAGUUGCGGAAUGAACUCCGGCAGAACACAGAUCUGCUAGAAAGCAAGAUUGCUGACUUGACCACUGAGCUUGCCGAUGAGCGCUUCAAAGGUGAUGUGGCCUGCCAGGUGCUGGAGAGUGAGCGGGCAGAGCGGCUACAGGCCUUCCGGGAGGUCCAGGAGCUCAAGAGCAAGCAUGAACAAGUCCAGAAAAAAUUGGGAGAUGUGAAUAAACAGUUGGAAGAAGCCCAGCAGAAAAUUCAUUUGAAUGACUUGGAAAGGAAUCCCACUGGAGGAGCAGACGAGUGGCAAAUGCGCUUCGACUGUGCUCAGAUGGAGAACGAGUUCCUCAGAAAGCGUCUGCAGCAAUGCGAGGAGAGGCUGGACUCGGAACUGACAGCCAGGAAAGAGCUGGAGCAAAAGCUCGGGGAGCUGCAAAGUGCUUAUGACGGGGCCAAGAAGAUGGCUCACCAACUGAAGAGGAAGUGCCACCAUCUUACCUGUGACCUUGAGGACACCCGCGUCCUGCUAGAGAACCAACAAAGUCGAAACCAUGAGCUGGAGAAGAAGCAGAAGAAGUUUGACCUCCAGCUGGCCCAGGCCCUAGGUGAGUCUGUGUUUGAGAAGGGUCUCCGUGAGAAAGUGACCCAGGAGAACACCAGUGUCCGGUGGGAGCUAGGCCAGCUUCAGCAGCAGUUGAAGCAAAAGGAGCAGGAAGCCUCACAGCUGAAGCAGCAGGUGGAGAUGCUACAGGACCAUAAACGGGAGCUGCUGGGGUCACCCUCUCUGGGGGAAAAUUGCGUUGCUGGCUUGAAGGAGAGGCUGUGGAAGUUGGAAUCCAGCGCCCUUGAGCAACAGAAAAUCCAGAGCCAGCAGGAAAACACCAUCAAGCAGCUGGAGCAGCUCCGCCAGCGGUUUGAGCUGGAGAUCGAGCGGAUGAAGCAGAUGCACCAGAAGGACCGUGAGGACCAGGAGGAGGAACUGGAGGAUGUCCGUCAGUCCUGCCAGAAGCGGCUUCGUCAGCUGGAAAUGCAGCUGGAGCAAGAAUAUGAAGAGAAGCAGAUGGUCCUUCAUGAGAAGCAAGAUUUGGAAGGCUUGAUUGGAACCCUCUGUGACCAGAUUGGCCAUCGGGACUUUGAUGUGGAGAAGCGACUUCGGAGAGACCUCAGGAGGACACAUGCACUGUUGUCAGACGUGCAGCUCCUUCUGGGCACCAUGGAGGAUGGCAAGACAUCAGUCAGCAAGGAGGAGCUGGAGAAAGUGCACAGCCAGCUGGAGCAGAGUGAAGCCAAGUGUGAGGAGGCCUUGAAGACCCAGAAGGUGCUCACAGCGGACCUGGAGAGCAUGCACAGCGAGCUGGAGAACAUGACGCGGAACAAGAGCCUGGUGGAUGAGCAGCUGUACAGGCUGCAGUUUGAGAAGGCAGACCUCCUGAAGCGCAUCGAUGAGGACCAGGAUGACCUGAAUGAGCUGAUGCAGAAGCACAAGGACCUCAUUGCUCAGUCUGCUGCUGACAUUGGGCAGAUCCAAGAACUGCAGCUGCAGCUGGAGGAAGCCAAGAAGGAGAAGCACAAGCUACAAGAACAACUGCAGGUGGCUCAGAUGCGCAUCGAGUACCUGGAGCAGUCCACUGUGGAUCGAGCCAUCGUCAGCAGGCAGGAGGCGGUCAUCUGUGACCUGGAGAACAAGACAGAGUUCCAGAAGGUGCAGAUUAAGAGAUUUGAGGUCCUGGUGAUCCGGCUUCGGGACAGCCUGAUCAAGAUGGGGGAGGAGCUUUCACAGGCGGCCACCUCCGAGUCCCAGCAGCGGGAGAGCAGCCAGUACUACCAGCGGCGCCUGGAGGAGCUGAAGGCCGACAUGGAAGAGCUGGUGCAGCGGGAGGCGGAGGCCAGCCGGCGGUGUAUGGAGCUGGAGAAGUACGUGGAGGAACUUGCCGCAGUGAGGCAAACCCUCCAGACAGACCUGGAGACAUCCAUUCGGCGGAUUGCCGACCUGCAGGCUGCCUUGGAAGAAGUGGCAUCCAGUGACAGUGAUACUGAGAGUGUCCAGACGGCAGUGGAUUGUGGCAGCAGUGGCAGAAAAGAGAUGGAUAACGUCUCCAUCCUCAGCUCCCAGCCAGAGGGCAGCCUGCAGUCCUGGUUGAGCUGUACUCUGUCCCUGGCCACAGACACUACGAGGACUCCUUCUCGACAGUCAGCCACCAGCAGCCGCAUCCUCAGCCCCAGGAUAAACGAGGAGGCUGGGGACACUGAGAGGACCCAGUCGGCACUGGCACUGAGCAGAGCCCGGUCCACCGAUGUCCGCAGCAAGACCUCGGGAGACAAGCCUGUUUCUCCCCACUUUGUCCGCCGGCAAAAGUACUGUCAUUUUGGGGACGGCGAAGGGCUUGCCGUCCAGAGAAAGUCCACAGAGAGAUUAGAAGCUGCUGCCUCUCCCCUGGCUUCUCGGAGUACAAACACAUCCCCGCUGUCGAGGGAAAAGCUGCCCAGUCCUUCAGCGGCCCUCUCAGAGUUCGUGGAAGGGCUCCGGAGGAAGAGAGCCCAGAGAGGCCAGGGGUCCACGCUGGGCCUGGAGGACUGGCCCACUCUCCCCAUUUACCAGACGACUGGGGCUUCCACACUAAGGAGGGGCAGGGCUGGCAGUGACGAGGGAAACCUCUCGCUGAGGGUUGGGGCAAAGUCACCCCUGGAAAUCGAAGGGGCCGCUGGUGGUCUCUUGAGGUCCACCAGCCUCAAAUGCAUCUCUUCAGACGGUGCUGGGGGCACAACCCUACUCCCCGAAAAGGCGAAGACCCGAUUCAGUUCCUGCGAGUCCCUCUUAGAAUCCAGAUCGAGCAUGGGGAGAAAACUGAGCUCUCCGACCACACCCAGGGACAUGCUGUUGUCGCCCACACUGCGUCCUCGGAGGCGGUGUCUGGAGUCCUCUGUGGAUGAUGUGGGCUGUCCAGACCUUGGAAAGGAGCCGCUUGUUUUCCAGAACCGCCAGUUCGCCCACCUGAUGGAGGAACCUCUAGGCAGUGACCCGUUCAGCUGGAAACUCCCAAGCCUCGACUACGAACGCAAGACCAAAGUGGACUUCGAUGACUUCCUCCCAGCUAUCCGGAAGCCCCAGACGCCUACAUCCUUGGCCAGAGCAGCCAAAGGUGGGCAAGACCGUUCACAGCGUUCAAGCAUCCACUUUGAGACGGAAGAGGCUGACCGUUCCUUUCUCUCGGGGAUCAAGACCAUUUUGAAGAAGAGCCCGGAGCCCAAGGAGGAUCCUGCUCACCUGUCCGACUCGUCCUCAUCCUCCAGCUCCAUCGUGUCCUUCAAAAGUGCUGACAGCAUCAAAAGUCGACCAGGAAUCCCACGACUUGCGGGUGACGGUGGUGAGCAAAUGUCCCCUGAGCACAGAGAGCCAGAGACGGGGAGGAAAGACGACGAUGUUGCGAGCAUAAUGAAAAAAUAUCUCCAGAAGUAGGAGCCAGUUCAGGUAAAAGCAACAGGCUGGGACUAUUCUUGGGGAAUGAGAGUUCACCUUGUAGCCUUGGGGAGGGCAGGUGUCACU